This 426-nucleotide long non-coding RNA is filed under the name Bos taurus (domestic cattle). RNAcentral's name for it is "long non-coding RNA NONBTAT025386". The record is from RNAcentral. Lineage: Eukaryota; Metazoa; Chordata; Mammalia; Artiodactyla; Bovidae.
GCAUUAAAGUAGAAAUGAAUAAUCAGAUGUGGUUAAAGGGGGAAAAGGUUACAUUUCCUUUAACUCAGAUUAAGCUUACUUGCACUGCACCCAUAAUUGAGGUGGUGAGGUCUAUGUUUCCUCCUGUCUCUAGAACUCCAGGGUUUACCUGGUGAGGCCCAUUUUCACUGAUUCUCCUGCACACGCCCACUCCUCUGUGCUUCCCAUGGGGUCAGGGCACAAUAACGUUAGGCAGCUAUGGGUUUCUGUGGUGGUUCCUACAACUUCACAAAUGUGAGAGGACUUCUGCUGCUGCAAGUGACCGAGUCUUCCUUCAUGUGAGAAUGUGUCCUCGUACCGAUUCUUCCCAAGGUUAAAAGAUGAGGGCUGGCCUGCCACAUAAUACUUGCUCACGUCCUUACAGUUCUAGCUCUUUAGAUGAAUGCA